CACAUAUAGCUCGUGUACCCACUCGCCACCUUGCAUACACGGCUUUCACGUAUCACAAAUAACAUUAAAUAACUCCAACCACAGGGGGUAAUUCCCCCACACGAAGUUAGCCAAGACCUGGUCCUACGUGAACGUGAUGGUUACUAGACCUGUCCCUACGCGAACGUGAUCUCACCUACAUGAUUGCUUAGGCAUGACGCCCGAGGCCCCCAGCUAACCUCUACUAUAUGCAAACGCAUAGGUGCUCUUGCGUCUGUGAAGAACUGAGUCCCAAAAGCUACGCGUACUCACUCCAAUAAUUGCAAACGUGAUGUACGAAAUGUCACCAUCCCUAAAUGACCUUUCACCGCUAACCUUUCCUCACGAUCGUGUAUAAGGAAUCCAAAACUAGAUUCAUCAGCAGUCCUUCAAGUCCAGAAAUGACUCGAACAUGAUCUAAAUCACACCAUUGGCCCCCGGGACCUGAUUCAAACAUAUUAACAAGUCAUCGAACAUGAUAAAAACUUUAUCAGAGAAUCAAAUUACAUAAAACAAUACCAAAAUCAUGAAUCGUACCCCAAUUCAAGCCUAAUGAACUUAUGAACUUCUAACUUCUAAACCUAAUGUUGAAUCAUACCAAACCUACUCCGAUCGACCUAAAAUUUUGCACACAAAUCAUAAAUGACACAAAAAAUCUAUUCAAAAUUCAGGAAUCAAAAUUUGAACCUGAUUUGAGAAAUGCACUCUCGGGUCAAACUUCUUAAUCUUCCAAACCUUCAGCUUUCUAAUUUUCGCCAAUUCUAGCCAAUACGACCUAUGAGCUUCUAAAUCAAUAUUUGGACAUAUUCCUACAUAUAAAAUCAUGAUACGAAGCUAUACGAACGAUCAAAACACCAUUUUUAAGUUGUUUAUAUAAAUGUCAAACUCCGAUCAACUUUUUUAACUUAAGCUUCUAGCUUUAGGACUAAGUAUUCCUAUUCACUCUGAACCUCACCCAAUACUAUACCAACCACCGCAGAAAGUCACAUAACCAUAAUAUAACAUAGAUGAUGCAAUAAAUAGGUUUAACGAGGCUAAAAUACUCAAAAUAAUUGGCUGGUCGUUACGUGUGUACAAUAGAAUUUACACCACAUACUAUGAUCUCUCUAACUGGUGUCCGAUCAAAUUGGUUUUGAAAAUCGUGAUUCCUUUAUGUUCCAUACGGCAGAAACUAACUCCACCAAGAUAAUAUUGAAAUUAUAACCAGUCCUUCUAUCCAGUCCAGGUCAUUGCAACAACUGAUAAACUCUAUGACCAUGUCUCGUCCGUGAAUCCAUCCUUUUGUAUGACAUAUAUGAUUGAAAAUGACUCCUAGAUGGACUCCAAUAUGCAAUGAGGCCAUUAUAAGAAUAUGCAAGUAUUUCAGAAGAAUCAAUUGAGUGCUAAGCAAGAAUUAAAGCCCAUUUCAUUGGGUUUUCACCAAAUUUCUUUAUCAAGACUGAUUCGAUCUUAGGUGGAGCCAAAUUAUUUCCCUUCACAACUGUGUAGUAAGUUACAACAUGUUCUUGUGGAUCCAAUGUUCUGUAGUAUUUUGGAAACAGCAUCUUGGAUAUCCUUGGAAUCAACUCCGAAGCCCCAUGAUUUUGAUCCAUCCAAGUGUAAAAUUUCUUAGCAUUAUGAUCCAUUUCAGCAUUUAUUUCUCUCAUGCACCUCAUGAGUUCAAUCAUGAAAGUAUCAUCUGUGUUAUUUUUGUUUCGAUGUCCACUACCCACACCACCUACCCGGUUGUUGUUCGCUCUAAACUCCCCGUGAAAGCGAUGUUACCAGUUCUUGGUAGCAUGUGAUAUAUAGGAAUCCCAUGAGAGUCUUGAAAUCCACCAUUUAAAUAAAUUCAAGCCACUGAUAACACUUGUUGAAGCUCAGUCAUUAUUCGAUUCUAUCUUGAGUGAUUGUUCAUAAUUUUCCAUUGUUAUGUUCUCAAACAUUUUACGGUAUCGGCCACAUUCCUAUCAUCUAAAUAAUCAAGACUAGGACUCCCCGUACGUUGAGUAUUUAUUUCCACCCAAAUCGGAGUUGAUUCAUUCCCAUCAAUAUGGGUUUCACUAGUUGAAUCGUCAUCUUGAGUUCCAUCAUGUAAAUUGUCAACAUGCUCGUUGUUUUUGUUCCCUAAAAUAUUAAGCAAGUUGGUAUAUCAUUAUAUGUCAUAUCUGUCAUAUGUUUUGAACAAAAAAAAUCUUAAAGCACGAUAGUAUAGGAUGGACGAAUCAAAAUAACAACACAAUGGUCUAUGCGCCAUGGUGGGUGUCAAGUUAUUUACUCAUAAAAAACUGUUUAUAGACACAUGGAUAAAUUGAUAUAAAUAGUAAAAUAAUAAAUAAUAAAAUAAAUGUAAUUAAAGAAAAAAUAAUCCUAAAUUUCAAACUGAUCCCUUUGAAACCAAGAGUAAUAGGGAAAUAUCAAUAACAAUCUUAUAAAGCAAAAGUGAAUGAGAGAAAGGAUAAUACCUUUUGUAAUUCUAGUAUUUUAUGUCCUUACCAGAGUUCCAUGUUUCUAUUUAUAAUAUAAUCAAAGGAGACAAAAUUCAAAAAUUAUGCCUUCUUAAAAAUAAAUAAUAAUCCCUCUUAGAGAUUGCAUAACAUUGGGAGUCGGUGACUUUCUGUAAUCGUCACUCCCUUUUAUGUUAUUGAUUUCAAUUGGUACCUUAUUUUCAAAUUCUCUUUUAUGAUAUUUAUAUCCUCAUAAUCUACUCAAUACCCGUCACAAGAUUGUAUCCGGUUGUAACGACCUGAUCAUUCAUUUUGAGAAUUAGCGUCUCGUUUGAUGGCUUAAGGUCUCGACAAUUUCGUAUUAUAUAUUAUGACUUGUGUGUGUGGCUCGAUUCUAUUUUUGGAUGAUUUUGGAUUUAUUUGGAAGAACAAUUCUUGUUUAGAAGCUUAAAUAAAAAGUAUAGACCGGACUUUGACCUUUUGAAAAUUACUCUCGAAUGGUAUUUUGAUGAUCCCAAUAGCUUCGUUGGUGAUCUUAGAUUAGGUAUGUGUCCUUAUUUAGAUUUGGAGGUCCGUAGGUUAGUUUGAUGAAUUUUUGGCGAAAGUUGGAAAGUUGAAGGUUUGGAAGGUUGAGAGGUUUGACCAGGAGUCAACUUUAUUGAUAUCGGGCUCGGAUUGCAAUUUUGAGAGUUGGAUUAGCUUCGUUAUAUCAUUUGGGACUUGCACGUAAAAUUUGAGGUUAUUCCGGGUUGAUUUGAUAUGAUUCGACGCGAGCUGUAGAAAUUGAAAGUUUAUAAAGUUCGAUCAGGGGUGCGAUUAAUAGUUUUGAUGUUGUUUGAUAUGAUUUGAGGCCUCAAUCAAGUUUGAGUUAUGGUAUGGAACUUGUUGGUAUGGUCGAGCAGGUCCCUAGGCCCCGUUGUGUUUCAGAUGAGCUGAGGAUCAUUUUACAAACUUGUCGCAUUGCUGAAGGGUCUGGUUACUGAUACCAUUGCACAUUUAGAUAAAUGGGCCGUAGAAAGUGCUAAGAAGGCACAUGUGAGGGAUUUGUGAGUGAAGGUAGGAGCCAUAAAAGCUGAUGUUUGGGCGCAUCUAUUCAACCAAAGAAGUGGAACACUGAACAUAGAAGCGCAUUCCCUGUUGUAGAAGCGAGUUUGGCUAAGGUGAGGCAUCUCAACAGAAGCGGAUUAUUUGUCGCAGAAGCUAUGUUUUUACCGCAAAAGCAGUAUCUCUGGUAGAAAAGUCAAUAAUUCUAGCUUUUGGUUAUUUUUAAUAUAUCUUGAGUUGUAGACCUCGGAUUUUAGCGAUUGUUGAGGGGUUCUUCAUGUGUUAGGUUGAGGUAAGUGUUCUUUACAUGGAUUUGAUUUUAUCUCGUGAUUCUGUCUUUGUUUUAACAUUAAAUAGUGAUUUGAGUGGGUGAAGAAUGGGAAUUUUUGUGAAAACUUUCAAAAAUGUAAAAUGAUUAUUUGAUGUCGGAAUUGGAUAAUUUUAUAUGGUUGGACUCGUAUCGGAACGGGUAUUCAGAUUUUGUGAAUUUUUGCCUAGUUCCGAGGGGCGGGCCCGGGCUUGACUUUUUGGUUGAUUAUUUAGUUUUUAUUAAAGAUCAAGAUUUAUUAUCCGGAAUUAUUUUCUAUGAUUUUUAUUUAUGAUAUUAAACUAUUUUGUCUAGAUUUGAGCCGUCCGAAGAUUGUUUUACUCGUGGAGGUCAUUUUAGAGUGUCGGUUUAGCUUCUUGAGGUAAGUAUCUUGUCUAAUUUGUGUGGGGGAACUACCCCUUAGGAUUUGAGUCGCUUAUGUUAUUUGUGUCCGUGAGGUAAUGAGUACAUACUCGGCCUGAUAUGUGGAAAUUUGCCGGUCUAGACUUUUAGGCAUCUUUUACCUACUUAUUUGGAAUUGUUAACACAUGUUAUAUCUUUUAUUUGUUAAGUCCACUAUCACAUGAUUUAUUUUAAGUUGUCGCUACAUUUCACAUUCUUUUCUUUUUGAGUGUGCUCAUAUAUGCUUUAUUUGGAGUUGUUAUUGCUUUUAUCAUUAUGUGAUUUCUUUUAUUGCAGAGUUACUCUUAGUUGAAAAUGUCGUCACAUGAUAUCUUUUUGUUGUCAGGUUGUUCUCGUGCAUUUAGAGGUAGUACAAGUUUGUGUCAUCUCCUUUAUUUUUAGACUGAUUCAUAUACUAGAUUCAGAAGUUUGCCCUUUCAUGGAAGUACUUUCGCUAUUAAAGUUAUCCAUAGACAAUUAAUUGGAAUUGAAGUUAUUGAGAGUUAUUAAUCUAUUUUAAUUGAAGUUGUGCUUAAGGGGGCGUUGUACCUUGUUGAUUUAAUUUUGCAUUCAUUUUGUUUUUAUUGAGAUUUUAUGUACGCUGUGUUGAGUCAUGGACUAUUUAUUGUGAAAAUUUUGAUACAAUUAAAUCUUUAGAAAGGUUGUGGCCUACGGGAACUUGCGAUACAAUUGAUAUGUUGUGUUAUUGUGAUGAUAGCACAUGUGAAUUUGUGUGGUUUAUUUAUUUUUAUGCGGAGUAUAAGUGUGGAAUUUCACCGUUAUUAUUAUGUGGAGUAUAAGGGUGGCAUUUCACUGUUGUUGUUAUACGGAGCGUAUGGGUGGCAUCUCGCUUUUGUUGAAUGUACGGAAUGACAGGAUGGUUGUUGUGCUAUUGUUCGAGCGGAGCGAUAAGGGUGGCUAUUAUACAGAGUGAUACGGAUGACUAUAUAAGAGAUAAUGGUGGCUAAUGAUAAAGUCAGGGCAGUGUGAUCGGGGUGGCUAUCAGAGAGGUAAAGAUGGCAAUAUCAUGAAUGAUGUGUGAUGGUUCCGAGACAUUGUGUUAGUAAUUUUCAUGUGAUGGUGUGCCUUUCCUUGUGUUUGUCAUACACCUUACAAGACUUUCUUGGUUGUUUUGAUGAGUUAUUCAAUGUCCUUGAUAUUACUUGUUGACUUGGGCUACAGUGGUAUACUCGUACAAGCAUAUACCAUAAUAUGCCACUUAUAUUAGCUUAGGAGUAUGAAACUUAACAUUUAUUGCAUAUACCAAAUCAUGCCACUUAUACUAGCUCAGAGUAUAAAACUUGACCAUUGUUGAUCAAGCACAUGUGUUCUUGUGUUAUCUAUUUCCAUGUUAAUAGUGAGAAUGUGACUGUGCCGGGCCGAUUGUGAUUGCGAGUUGGUGACCAUCUGGACAGGUUGUGAUUUUGAGCUUGUGACCAUGCUAGACGAGUUAUGAUUGUUGUCACACCUCCUUUUUCACUAACACCCCCGCGAAGGAGCGUAAAGGAAUUUUUCCAAUUAAAGGACAAUUGGAACGAGAUUUGGUUAUUAAUUAUUUCAGAGUCGUCACUUUGGAGAUUAAUGGUGUCCCAAGUCACCGAUUGAAUCCCAAACCGAGUAAAAAGAUGACUCUGUAUUAUAGUCCGGAUAAGGAAUUCUGUUAACCCGGGAGAAGGUGUUAGCCAUUCCUGGGUUCCAUGGUUCUAGCGCGGUCGCUUAACUGUUGUAUUUGAUUUUAUCUGAUUUUAAUACAUGCUAACUUUUGUGCCCUUUUAUUUAUAUACCGCUUUUACCAUUAUUUAUUUUAAAAGACUUAUGAUGUCGCGAAAACGUGUCUUUGGCCACGCCGCCAUCAAGGCACCCGUAAUCAUCGACAUAUUUUGACUUCAUCGAGAUUUGGAUUUGGGUCGCAUCAAUGCUCACCCGAGUUUAGGAAGAUAAAUUUAAUUAAAUCGCGCUUAAAGUUUCUAAGUAAUAUUGUUUGGGAAAACUUUUACCAUUGUUUAUUUUAUAAGACUUGCGACGUCGUGAAAACACGUCUCUGACCACGUCGCCAUCAAGGCACCCGUGGUCGUNNNNNNNNNNNNNNNNNNNNNNNNNNNNNNNNNNNNNNNNNNNNNNNNNNNNNNNNNNNNNNNNNNNNNNNNNNNNNNNNNNNNNNNNNNNNNNGACUUCGUCGAGAUUUGGAUUUGGGUCGCAUCAAUGCGCACCCGAGUUUAAGAAAGUAAUUUAAUUAAAUCGCGCUUAAAGGUUCUAGCGUAAUAUUGCAUUGGGAAAGGCCGUUGAAAUUCGCUAAACGACCCUUCUGAAUUCUAAACAUUUUUAAUAUUCGAUUAUUGAGGGCCCAUCAUUUAUUUUUAUUCGGUGAGGCUCGUCUCUAUUUUUGAACCAAUUUCCGAUCGUUGUUUAUUUGUUUUAUAAGAAUUACGACGUCGUGAAAACGUGUUUCGAACCCCGUCGCCAUCAAGGCACCCGUGGUCGUCAACACAUUUCGACUUCGUCGAGAUUUGGAUUUGGGUUGCAUCAAUGCUCACCGAGUUUAAGAAGGUAAUGUUAUUAAAAUCGCGUCUAAAAAAGUCUAAUGCGCUAUUAUCUUUUGGGAGGAUCGUGAAAUUCGCUAAACAACCCUUCCUGAUUUUCUAAAUAUUUUCAAACAUUUAUUGAGGCCCCGCAUAUGGAUUGAUUUCUCAAUUGUUUUAGUCAUAGAUACGGUUCGACUCAAAUAUAGUGCACAUGAAAAAAAAGUUCUUUGUAAACUCUAAUUCCAAUGGACCAAACCCCACAUAGAUAAUUAAAUAAAAUGACUAUUGAAUUUCGUCAAUACGAAUCAAACAAAUAAAUUCACUGCUUUACAAAUCUGGCUUCCAAAAUUAUAUGUUAGUACUCACGCAUUUAAAAAACGAUUUGAGGAGACCUAAACACAAUAACAUCAUGCAUAUUAUCAAACCAAUCUGAAUUACAAAGUCGGAAUUGAAACAGUACCGUAAGGAGAGCAGUUUGGAAAAAUUCCGGCGCAGGAACAACAGCGAGAUCUUCAAACGCAAAUUUCAAAAACUGAAGUUUCCUUCGAAUUUCUUCGAGUCUCAAAACCAGAAAAUCCGAUUGCUGAACGAAUUUUAUUGAUGAACAAAAUCAACGUAUACAAAACAGGGCAAAACCAACGGACUAUAAACAAACGGAAGCUAUGAGUUAGAAUUUCGACAUCGAAACCUCGCCGGAAACUUCGAACGGAUCUCCUGCAACUCAACCUCAAUCGGACUUCAUUGAAAACCAAAAAUCUUUAUGCGUGUGUGUUCUAUUUGUGCUUAUAGCCACUGUUGCAACUUGUUGCUGUUUGAAAAUUGCCGCCACUCAAUUGUUUUCGAGAUUGUCGAUGGGGGUGGGUGUUCGAACAAGAAGACGUAAAAUGGCUGAAUGUUGUCCGUGACUUUUUGGUAGUUUUUCGUGAAUUUUGCUGGCGUGUUUUUAUUCUUCAAAAGGCUGAAUGCCUUUUCUUUGGUGUGUUUUCUUUAGUAAAUUUUUUUUUGUCCCUUUUUCAUUGGAUAGAGAAUGAUUUUAUAGAGUGUAUAGUAAAGUAUUAUGUGGGAAGAGUUUUAUUUGGGGAAGAUGUUAU
RNAcentral lists this long non-coding RNA (7810 nucleotides) under Nicotiana benthamiana. RNAcentral describes it as "long non-coding RNA (NBEN_LNC022590)". The record is from RNAcentral. Lineage: Eukaryota; Viridiplantae; Streptophyta; Magnoliopsida; Solanales; Solanaceae.